CCUAGGGAGGCUGCAGUGGGGAAUAUUGCACAAUGGGGGAAACCCUGAUGCAGCGACGCCGCGUGAGUGAAGAAGUAUCCCGGUACGUAAAGCUCUAUCAGCAGGAAAGAAAAUGACGGUACCUGACUAAGAACCCCCGGCUAACUACGUGCCAGCAGCCGCGGUAAUACGUAGGGGGCAAGCGUUAUCCGGAUUUACUGGGUGUAAAGGGGGCGUAGACGGCGCUGCAAGUCCGGAGUGAAAGCCCAUGGCUUAACCAUGGUACGGCUCUGGAAACUGUAGAGCUUGAGUGCGGGAGGGGCAGGCGGAAUUCCUAGUGUAGCGAUGAAAUGCGUAGAUAUUAGGAGGAACACCGGCGGCGAAGGCGGCCUGCUGGACCGUAACUGACGUUGAGGCUCGAAAGCGUGGGGAGCAAACAGGAUUAGAUACCCUUGUAGUC
This 439-nucleotide ribosomal RNA is filed under the name uncultured bacterium. RNAcentral describes it as "partial 16S ribosomal RNA". It matches the Rfam family "Bacterial small subunit ribosomal RNA", at positions 338 to 795 of the family's 1533-position model. The record is from RNAcentral.